GUCCCGCCUCCUCCCGCAUCGGCUUCGGUGCCUCCGGCUGCCUCCAUGGUGUUUGCACCCCAGGCAGCCCCCUCGAUGGGAUCGUCUUCGCCGCCGCCGGUUCACUUCGGUCAUCUCAUCACCAUCAAGCUCUCCGCCGACAACUACAUCUUCUGGCGUGCGCAGGUUCUCCCGCUCUUGGGGAGUCACUACCUGCUAGGCUACGUCGACGGAUCGCUUCCCUGCCCACCCGCACUGGUAGACAGCGUGCACGGUCCGGUCUACAAUCCGGCCCAUCGCGUCUGGACGGGGCAGGACCAGGCGAACCUCUCCUCCAUCCAGGGGUCGCUCUCGCCGGCAGUUGCCGGACUUGUUGUCUUCGCGAAGACGUCUCAUGAGGCCUGGACCAUCCUUGAGCGAACCUUUGCAGCGCAGUCCCAGGCUCGUGUCUCUGCACUCCGUCGUCAGCUUGGAGAGUGUCAG
RNAcentral lists this ribosomal RNA (462 nucleotides) under Triticum aestivum (bread wheat). Its description in RNAcentral is "partial small subunit ribosomal RNA". Lineage: Eukaryota; Viridiplantae; Streptophyta; Magnoliopsida; Poales; Poaceae. The record is from RNAcentral.